GGGAAGGUCUGCAUACACUCUACCCUCCGCAGACUCCACCUGGGUGAUCUCACUGUUGUUCUGUGAACGCAGUCUAAUUGUGUAUCAGCUGAUGAAUUACCAUAGUUAUUUGUUGCAAUUUCAUUGAGUUUGCUCUUUCAAUAUAACAUGGUAUACUAGGCAAUUCUGAUCCUCUGGCUCGGUCAAUAUGUGCUAAUGGCCAUUUGAUGAAUAUUGGCUAAAUGUAGUCAGCUUUUUCUCUAUAAGAGCACAUACUGAUCAAUAAUGGGGUAACAUGAUUUGGAAUUCAACACAUCUGGCUGUUGCUAGAGUGGUAUAUGAACGUCGUCCUUUUGUUGCAGGAAAAUUCAAUAUGGAACAAAAUGAUACAGGCUGCCAAGCUCCUCAAGCUCCUGUCCUUUGUGUUAACAAUUGUGGGUUUUUUGGUACUGCAGCAACAAUGAACAUGUGCUCAAAGUGCUACAAGGAUAUGAUAUUCAAGCAAGAACAAGCAAACUUUGCUGCUUCAUCUAUUGAAAGCUUUGUAAAUGGAAGUUCAAAUGCUAGUGUGAAAGCUGUUGAUGUUGCUGUCACCGUGCAGGAAGGUCCUGCAGAGUCCCUGGUUAUACCCACACAAGUCGCGGUACCAGUAGAGAGUGAACAAGUUGAGAAGGCUAAGGAGGGGCCAAACAGGUGCAGCACCUGUAGGAGACGAGUUGGUUUGACCGGCUUCAACUGCCGAUGUGGGAAUCUUUUCUGCUCAGCUCAUCGCUACUCAGACAAACAUGAGUGUCCAUAUGAUUAUCGCAAGGCUGGUCAAGAUGCUAUUGCGAAAGCCAACCCAGUUGUUAAGGCUGAAAAGCUUGACAAAAUAUGAAGGAACAUCCUGAGUUUAUGAGCUGCAGUAUUAUUGAAGACGUCUUCCAUACCCAUCUGGUGACUUCUACUGUUUGGUGCCUAGGAUCUCGAGGGGGUCGAGAGAGAGAAUCAUAAGGCAUCUUUACAACUUGAGGGGUCGUAAUGUUGGUAUCAAGUAAGAAAUGUUGUGGUUUCCAUCUUUAGUGCUUGUUUUGUGCUUGUGAUGGACAUUCUUUUGGUUUAUCUUUUGAUGUAGUAAUUCCAAUUUUAGUAAACAUAAAAGUUGGUGUUCUCUAGUAUAAAAGCAGUGUUUCCUACUAUCAAAUCC
This 1165-nucleotide unclassified non-coding RNA is filed under the name Hevea brasiliensis (rubber tree). The record is from RNAcentral. Lineage: Eukaryota; Viridiplantae; Streptophyta; Magnoliopsida; Malpighiales; Euphorbiaceae.